GAGACUCUGUGCGCGUGCAUAUCAAUAAGCGGAGGAAAAGAAACUAACAAGGAUUCCCUUAGUAACGGCGAGUGAAGCGGGAAGAGCUCAAAUUUGAAAUCUUCAAGGUUCUACCUUGACGAAUUGUAGUUUAUAGAAGUGUUUUCUGUUAGUAGAGUGGCAAAAGUUCUUUGGAAUAGGACAUCAUAGAGGGUGAGAAUCCCGUAUUUGGUCAUUCUUUCUAGCUUUGUGAUACACUUUCAACGAGUCGGAUUGUUUGGGAAUGCAGUCCAAAAUGGGUGGUAAAUUUCAUCUAAAGCUAAAUAUUGGCGAGAGACCGAUAGCGAACAAGUACCGUGAGGGAAAGAUGAAAAGAACUUUGAAAAGAGAGUUAAACAGUACGUGAAAUUGUCAAAAGGGAAGCGUUUGACACCAGUGUUGUUUUUCCGAAAAUCAAUUACGAAUGUUUUGUUUUUAAGAAGUUAUGACUUCAUCGGCUUGCUUCUUUCUUUACGAAACUUUCUUAACGCACUUUUCGGUUAACAAGUCAACAUCAAUUUCUUUUGUUGUAAAAGGGUAUGAGGAAGGUGGCUUUCUUUUCGGAGAAAGUGUUUAUAGCCUUGUACCUCUGCAAUCGGAGAGAUUGAGGUCUGCAGCGUAGAUCCUUCGGGGUUAGAUACAUUUGUGCUAAGUUAUAGCUUUUCAUAGACAACUUGUUGACUAUGUUUAGUCUUGUAGCUUACUCGCUUAUGCUAUUUUACCUACGCUUAGGAUGUUGAACUCUAUCACACACAG
This 774-nucleotide ribosomal RNA is filed under the name uncultured Neocallimastigales. Its description in RNAcentral is "partial large subunit ribosomal RNA". It matches the Rfam family "Eukaryotic large subunit ribosomal RNA", at positions 23 to 634 of the family's 3401-position model. The record is from RNAcentral. Lineage: Eukaryota; Fungi; Neocallimastigomycota; Neocallimastigomycetes; Neocallimastigales.